CAUGUUGAGUAAAUCAAAGAGCAAAACACAGAAAAAGAAAGAGAGAGUUACGCAUCCAACAAUACAAGAAUACUUUAUGCUUGCUGGAGUUCUCAAUUUAGUCGAGUAUAGUUGCGAUGAACUUUCAUAGCAAUUAAUCCCCCAGGCAUGCGAUUUAGUCAAGUCAAUCCCCUCCAGGCUCCAGCUAGUUGAACCCCGUCCAGUACGCAGAGUAUUGCCCAGCCCAUCCACUGGGGCUCUUCUGCAUCACCAGGUAUUUGGGCACUCCUGGCUACUUUCUGUCCACACAUACCGGCUAGUUUUUGUUGACUGUAAAAGAAUGAGGGGUUUCUGGUAAUUUGGCAGCUGGUAUCUUUUACUGUUGUGCUCCUGGGUAUCGCACGCCGCUUCGAAGUGAGCCCAAAACCAGAACCAGAAGUUGAGGAAGGAGGAGAAUCACACGGGCAUUCAGAUCCUGAAUGGGGAAGCUUUUCAAAACAUAAGCAACCAAUUUCUCGAUUCCUCCGGCCACCCCGAAGCGCUCUCUCUCUCUCUCUCUCUCUCUCUGAUCGGUGUUGUUGUUGUUGUUGUUGUUUCAAAACCAGGUUAGUAAAUUCUUCCCUGCAUUUUGCUUUUCUCCGUCUCCGCGUUUGUGAAUUCCGCUGAGCAAAUGGCAAUGCAGCUUGAAAUUGUGUGGAAUCGGAAAAGUUAGGAGGAUUUGAGCUGGCUUGUAUCUUUUUUGUUGUGCUUAGGGUGUUUUCGAUUUUUCGGAAGGUGGAUAAUUUAGGUCUCUGAAGAUUGAGGCUUGGAUAACGUAGAAAGGAGGUCAGGUAUGGUAGGAAAAAGAGAGUAAAGAAUUAUUAGUAGUUUUUUUUGAGUUUGGAAGAGACGGAGAAGGACCACAAGUGGUGUGAGUUUCUUCUUAGAUGUAGUGUACCUGAAGAAAAGGAUAUUUUCAAUUGUGGCAUGGUGCUUUUGAUGCCAAACCCAAGUUCUGGUAAGCGUUUGAAUAUUCCUUAAGAUUGAAACUUUGAAUGUUAGAGAGAGCCCAAUAUGAACUAAGCCAUACUUGACUCUCUGUAACUUUGAAUCGUAAAGGUUCAUACUUUCUGUUUAUCAAGGUGAAGUUGCUUGCUUGUAAUAUUGAUUCAGUUCUUCUAAUCUGGGGUUAUGUAUUUUGGAAUUGUAUUUUGACGUGGGUUCUUUUGUUUGUUUGGAUAUUUUGAUUAGGCACUUUUUGAGGAAGUUGAAGGAAGUGAGGAAGAGCAAUGGACAAAUCUUGGCCAUCAAUGAGCUUUGCGUCCAUGAUUGAUAACAAGGAACAAGGCAUUCCUACAGAUUUUAUGAUGAGCAUCCAGUCACAGUCACACAAAAAUGGAAACAGGGGGUCAGAGCUGCAAAAAGAUGAAAAUGGGGGGUCAGAAUCACAGGAAGAUGGAAAUGGGAGAUGCAAAAUCUCAAAUGGGACUUCUAGUACAGAUGCUAAACUAGUGGAAAGCUCCGGCAGCACAACUGAUGAUUGCUGCUUGAUGCUUCUGAGGAGGAAAUCAGAGCGUGCUUGAUUGAUGGCACUGUUUUAUGCAGAAUUUUAAAUAAGCUGCAUGUGUCCGGUUCAGUUGAAAUGCUUUUGUCCUGCUUUAGGGAGGGAGUUUUGACCCUGGUUUUGCAAAUGUCAAAAGGUUUCUGGUGGCUGUGGAGGAGUUAGCUAGGAUUCCCUCCGUUUGAGCUUUUGGACCUAGAGCAGAAUUGUGCUGGCUGGAUUGACCAGUACCAGUGUGUAAUAUCAGCAUCUGUCAAUCAAUUGAUGGUUUGAGAUCAUUUGCAGGGAUCUUUGGUGCCAGUUAUAUGGUGCCUUAUUGCACUCAAAACUUCAUUUGAUUUUGGUUUUAGGGAAGAGAACACUAAAAAUGAAACAAAGACAGGAGGGGAGUUGUUGGAGAUAGAAUAUUUAAGGAAAAAUUAUCAUAAUCAAUCAUUCAAGAGAUACGGACAACAGGGUACUCAAAAUAGCUCAAAAUAGAGAAGGGACACAAGGAAAUUCAGAUGACUCAACUUCUGAAGUGACAGAAUGCAUCAAUUUGAUCUGAAUUGGAUCCUUCUGCUGUAAAUUCAGGAUCUUUAAAUACCUCUUUCGGAUUUGGAAAGUGCUUGAGAAUGCAAGACUGGACUUGUCUAUGGUUUCUUACGCCUAUAUUCUGGGUGACUGGUUUGAGGAAGAAGCCAUCUUCACCGUUGUGACUGCAGGUGCUAAAUAAGACAACUGGUACUUCAGAAAAUCUCCCUGCUGUUUCUUCAAUAGUGCUUCUAAGGUUGCUUUGGAGUGUUAACCUUUCUUGAUGUUUCGAUUGGUAUUCCUUUUUACCCAAAUUUGCUUAUUAUGUCUGUGAAAAUGGCUUGCACUUUUGCAUUGAUAUUGAUCUCAAACUGGGUUUUUGUGGCUUGCACUUUUGCAUUGAUAUUGAUAUUAAGGUUUGUAAUUUCUUGCAGAAAGCCAGAAAGUUAAAAACCCAUGUUUAGUUUUUGACUUUGGAAUUAGUUUGGAUAGUAUUUCCACUGUUUGAAUAUUAUUUUGACUAUGAAUAUUAACCGAUA
Long non-coding RNA from Rosa chinensis, 2571 nucleotides. RefSeq lists it as uncharacterized. The transcript has 6 exons. Lineage: Eukaryota; Viridiplantae; Streptophyta; Magnoliopsida; Rosales; Rosaceae. The record is from RefSeq and is a predicted model, not a curated record.